This 301-nucleotide ribosomal RNA is filed under the name uncultured bacterium. RNAcentral describes it as "partial 16S ribosomal RNA". It matches the Rfam family "Bacterial small subunit ribosomal RNA", at positions 509 to 807 of the family's 1533-position model. The record is from RNAcentral.
CAGCCGCCACGGUAACACGAAGGUCCCGAGCGUUGUUCGGAAUCACUGGGCGUAAAGGGAGCGUAGGCGGCGUGGUAAGUCAGAUGUGAAAUCCCGGGGCUCAACCCCGGAACUGCAUCCGAUACUGCCAUGCUAGAGGAUUGGAGAGGUAGCUGGAAUUCUUGGUGUAGCAGUGAAAUGCGUGGAGAUCAAGAGGAACACUCGUGGCGAAAGCGAGCUACUGGACAAUAACUGACGCUGAGGCUCGAAGGCCAGGGUAGCGAAAGGGAUUAGAUACCCGCGUAGUCCCUGUCUCUUAUAC